RNAcentral lists this ribosomal RNA (636 nucleotides) under fungal endophyte. RNAcentral's name for it is "eukaryotic LSU rRNA". The stretch from base 181 to 334 matches the Rfam family "5.8S ribosomal RNA". Lineage: Eukaryota; Fungi. The record is from RNAcentral.
AUUAAAGAGUUCUAUAACUCCCAAACCCAUGUGAACAUACCUAACGUUGCCUCGGCAGGUCGCACCUACCUUGUAGCACCCUACCCUGUAGGGCCUACCCGGGAGGUGCGGGUAAGCCUGCCGGCGGCCCACCAAACUCUGUUUGAUAUUGAAUUCUGAACCUAUAACUAAAUAAGUUAAAACUUUCAACAACGGAUCUCUUGGUUCUGGCAUCGAUGAAGAACGCAGCGAAAUGCGAUAAGUAAUGUGAAUUGCAGAAUUCAGUGAAUCAUCGAAUCUUUGAACGCAUAUUGCGCCCAUUAGUAUUCUAGUGGGCAGGACCGUUCGAGCGUCAUUUCAACCCUUAAGCCUUCGUUGCUUAGUGUUGGGAGCCUACGGCAACGUAGCUCCUCAAAGUUAGUGGCGGAGUUGGUUCACACUCUAGACGUAGUAAUUUUUUAUCUCGCCUAUUAGUUGGACUAAUCCCCUGCCGUAAAACCCCCAAUUUAUAUCAAGGUUGACCUCGAAUCGGUUCAGACAAACUCGCUAAAUUGAAGCAUCUUAGUCAGCGAAGGAAAAGAAACCAACAGGGAUUGCCCUAGUAACGGCGAGUGAAGCGGCAACAGCUCAAAUUUGAAAUCUGGCCCUCGGGUCCGA